This 743-nucleotide ribosomal RNA is filed under the name Verrucomicrobia bacterium IMCC14728. RNAcentral describes it as "bacterial SSU rRNA". It matches the Rfam family "Bacterial small subunit ribosomal RNA", at positions 38 to 749 of the family's 1533-position model. Lineage: Bacteria; Pseudomonadati; Verrucomicrobiota. The record is from RNAcentral.
GGCGGCGUGGAUAAGACAUGCAAGUCGAACGAAGAAUAUUCGGUAGCAAUAACUGGGUAUUUUUAGUGGCGAAAGGGUGCGUAACACGUGGGUAAUCUACCGUAAAGUUCGGAAUAACUUCGAGAAAUCAAAGCUAAUACCGAAUGUGAUCUGACAGGGACAUCCCUGUUCCAUUAAAGCUGGGGACCUUCGGGCCUGGCGCUUUACGAUGAGCCCGCGCCCUAUCAGCUUGUUGGUGAGGUAAAAGCUCACCAAGGCUAAGACGGGUAGCCGGUCUGAGAGGACGAUCGGCCACACUGGAACUGAGACACGGUCCAGACACCUACGGGUGGCAGCAGUCGAGAAUCAUUCACAAUGGGGGAAACCCUGAUGGUGCGACGCCGCGUGGGGGAUGAAGGUCUUCGGAUUGUAAACCCCUGUCAUUUGUGAACAAACCUUUUGGUUUAAUAGAUCAAAAGCUGAUAGUAGCAAAAGAGGAAGGGACGGCUAACUCCGUGCCAGCAGCCGCGGUAAUACGGAGGUCCCAAGCGUUGUUCGGAUUUACUGGGCGUAAAGGGUGCGUAGGUGGCCAGGAAAGUUUGAUGUGAAAGCUCCGAGCUCAACUCGGAAAAUGCAUUGAAUACUACUUGGCUUGAGGAUCGGAGGGGAGACUGGAAUUCUCGGUGUAGCAGUGAAAUGCGUAGAUAUCGAGAGGGAACACCAGUGGCGGAAGGCGGAGUCUUCUGGACGAUUCCUGACACUGA